RNAcentral lists this long non-coding RNA (553 nucleotides) under Vulpes vulpes (red fox). RNAcentral describes it as "lncRNA (ENSVVUG00000006407.1)". Lineage: Eukaryota; Metazoa; Chordata; Mammalia; Carnivora; Canidae. The record is from RNAcentral.
UGCGGCUCCUGCCUGAUACUCUAGAAGACUCAAAUGAGAGAACUAGGCCACCGCGGAAUCAUUGUGGCUGCCCUGAGGCCACUAUACUGUGAGGAAGCUCAAACUAUCCCAUGCAGAGACUCACAUGGAGAAUACCUGAAACUACAUAAAGAGACAGAGAUACCAGUUAGCCAGCCCUCAUCCGACUGCACCUCAUUAGCGACCCCCAACUGGAAACACCAGCCAACCUCUCCAAAUUCUGAAAGAACAAAAAAUGGAGGGAUAUCUCUGGGAGUAGCCUUCCAUGUACAUCCUCACAUACGAAGGAAAGCAAAGCACUAUUGGGAGAGGAGUUGGGGCCAGAGGCAGAGCUGCACCAACGUACGCUGUACCUAUCAAACCGCGCCCUCAGAAGGCACACCCCUGUGAAGCAGGUUCUCCGGAUAUUACUUAUCUUGAACUGCCAGCAUAGUCUCGUCUGUGUGAUGUGCGUGACAGUGAGGAAUAGCUUUUUGCUGCACUGCCCAACUUUCGGGGUAAAAUAAAUACAUACAUGCAUACGUGAAUGAAAGCA